UAAUGCUCCUUGAAAUGAGGAACUCAAAAGUCACGUGUAAAGAAAAAAUCUCUGUGUAGUGAUAUUGGACAUGUUUCUAUUUUUAACAAAUGACUGAACUUAAUUAUUUGUGGUGAUUAGGAAAGUAGAGGAACAUAGAAUAAAUGUGUAAAAACUAUGGAGCUAUUGAAUGUGUUCAAAGUAUUAAAUUUUCAAAGAACUUAUUGUGUUAAAAAGGGGAUAUUUUACCACAAGGAGCCGCAUCACAAAAGGAUGUUCGGGGUUUGCUAACUUACGGAAAAAGUAAUCUCACUUUGUACCCCGAAAAUUUAACCACAUAUGUGAAAAUGUCACAGCUUCGAAACGAGCUAUCAUACAUAUUCAAGUUUACGAUAUGGACUGAGCUACAGGAAUAAACGUUACCAUUACCGUCUAUGGAAAAACAAUUAAAGAUAUUGAGCCAAUUUAAAAAAAGAUAAAUCAGAAGUUUUCAGAGUGAUCUAUGGAUGAUUUCACCUUGUACACCCGGGAAAGUUGUGAAAAUGAUGUUCCAGACAUAUCAUUACUUUUUAACCUGAGAUGACAAACUAGAGGUUUUUAAAGGUCCUGAAUAACUGAAAUGGACAAAAAUACACAGAUUUAUUCAGAAUGUCAUACCGAUGAAGAUCACAUAAAAAUAUUUGGAAAAAUCAGAACUAUGGAUUGCAAUAUGGGACAACAUCCCUAAUGCGCCUUGAAAUGAGGAACUCAAAAGUCAUGUGUAAAGAAAAAAUCUCUGUAUAGUGAUAUUGGACAUGUUUCUAUUUUUAACAAAUGACUGAACUUAAUUAUUUGUGGUGAUUAGGAAAGUAGAGGAACAUAGAAUAAAUGUGUAAAAACUAUGGAGCUAUUGAAUGUGUUCAAAGUAUUAAAUUUUCAAAGAACUUAUUGUGUUAAAAAGGGGAUAUUUUACCACAAGGAGCCGCAUCACAAAAGGAUGUUCGGGUUUGCUAACUUACGGAAAAAGUAAUCUCACUUCGUACCCCGAAAAUUUAACCACAUAUGUGAAAAUGUCACAGCUUCGAAACGAGCUAUCAUACAUAUUCAAGUUUACGAUAUGGACUGAGCUACAGGAAUAAACGUUACCAUUACCGCCUAUGGAAAAACAAUUAAAGAUAU
Long non-coding RNA from Mytilus trossulus (common blue mussel), 1137 nucleotides. RefSeq lists it as uncharacterized. Lineage: Eukaryota; Metazoa; Mollusca; Bivalvia; Mytilida; Mytilidae. The record is from RefSeq and is a predicted model, not a curated record. The transcript has 3 exons.